GGACUACCCGGGUAUCUAAUCCUGUUUGAUCCCCACGCUUUCGUGCCUCAGUGUCAAUAUUUGCGUAGCGAGCUGCCUUCGCAAUCGAUGUUCUAUGUCAUAUCUAAGCAUUUCACCGCUACAUGACAUAUUCCGCUCACCUCCACAACAUUCAAGACAGAUAGUAUCAAUGGCAGUUUUCGGGUUAAGCCCAAAGAUUUCACCACUGACUUACCUGCCCACCUACGCACCCUUUAAACCCAGUGAAUCCGGAUAACGCUUGCACCCUCCGUAUUACCGCGGCUGCUGGCAC
RNAcentral lists this ribosomal RNA (292 nucleotides) under uncultured Bacteroidota bacterium. RNAcentral's name for it is "uncultured Bacteroidetes bacterium partial 16S ribosomal RNA". The record is from RNAcentral. Lineage: Bacteria; Pseudomonadati; Bacteroidota.